Molecule: ribosomal RNA, 424 nt
Filed under: uncultured bacterium
Lineage: Bacteria
Description: bacterial SSU rRNA
Rfam family: Bacterial small subunit ribosomal RNA
Source: RNAcentral
GGAAUUGUUCGCAAUGGGCGCAAGCCUGACGACGCACCGCCGCGUGGAGGAUGAAGACUUUCGGGUCGUAAACUCCUUUCGACCGAGAUGAAUACCCGCCGACCUAAUACGUCGGCGGGCUGACAGUAUCGAGGGACGAAGCACCGGCUAACUCCGUGCCAGCAGCCGCGGUACUACGGGGGGGGCAAGCGUUGUUCGGAAUUACUGGGCGUAAAGGGUUCGUAGGUGGCCAACUUAGUCAGACGGGAAAUCCCUCGGCUCAACCGGGGAACUGCGUCUGAUACUGGAUGGCUUGAGUGCAGGAGAGGAACGCGGAAUUCCAGGUGUAGCGGUGAAAUGCGUAGAUAUCUGGAGGAACACCGGUGGCGAAGGCGGCGUUCUGGACUGUAACUGACACUGAGGAACGAAAGCCAGGGGAGCAAAC